This 1250-nucleotide ribosomal RNA is filed under the name metagenome. Its description in RNAcentral is "SSU rRNA". It matches the Rfam family "Eukaryotic small subunit ribosomal RNA", at positions 582 to 1823 of the family's 1831-position model. The record is from RNAcentral.
AUUCCAGCUCCAAUAGGAUAUAUCAAAGUUGUUGCAGUUAAAAAGCUCGUAGUUGAAUUUCUGGAAGGUAGAAGUGUUUUUCUAGAGAAGCAAUUUUUUAUUGAAGACACCGCUUUCCAUUUUGUGGAUUUCUGUUUUGUAUGAGAUAGUUUACUCUAUUUUAUAUAAAAUACCACUCCGUCACUGAGAGCAAAUUGGAGUGCUCAAAGCAGGCCUUAUUAGCUUUGAACAUUUUAGCUUGGAAUGACAAGAUAUGACUUUUGUUUUAUUUUGUUGGUUAUGAAAUUAAAGUAAUGAUUAACAGGAACAGUUGCGGGGGUACUCGUAUUGAAAGGUCAGAGGUGAAAUUCUUGGAUUCUUUCAAGACGAACGACUGCGAAAGCAUUUACCAAGGAUGUUUUCAUUAAUCAAGAACGAAAGCUCGGGGAUCGAAGAUGAUUAGAUACCAUCGUAGUCCGACGCCAUAAACGAUGCCGACUCGGGAUUAUUUUGUUUGUUUAAAAUAAAAAAGAACACAAAGUAGCACCGUAUGAGAAAUCAAAGUCUUUGGGUUCCGGGGGGAGUAUGGUCGCAAGGCUGAAACUUAAAGGAAUUGACGGAAGGGCACACCAGAGGUGGAGCCUGCGGUUUAAUUUGACCCAACACGGGGAAACUUACCAGGUCCAGACAUGAUGAGGAUUGACAGUUUGAAAGCACUUUCUUGAUUUCAUGGGUGGUGGUGCAUGGCCGUUCUUAGUUGGUGGAGUGAUUUGUCUGGUUGAUUCCGAUAACGAACGAGACGGGGUGAAUUUACUAGUUUGUUAUAUAAUUUACGUUAUAUAAGACUUCUUUAUUCGACAACUUGGUUUUACCAAGAGGAAGCGCCCCGCAAUAACAGGUCUGUGAUGCCCUUAGAUGUUCUGGGCUACACGCGCGCUACAAUGACGAAUUCAACGAGUUUAAAAUUCAUUCCUUAUCCGGAAGGAUGUGGGUAAUCUUUUCAAUAUUCGUCGUGAUGGGGCUAGAUUUUUGCAAUUAUUAAUCUUCAACGAGGAAUCUCUAGUAUGUGCAAGUCAUCAGCUUGCGCAGAAUGCGUCCCUGCCCUUUGUACACACCGCCCGUCGCACCUACCGAUUGGACGAUCCGGCAAGAUGUUUGGAGUUGUUUUGAUUGUAGAGUAAUUUAUGAUGAAAAUGACAAAGCUCUUCAAACCUUAUCGUCUAGAGGAAGGUGAAGUCGUAACAAGGUCUCCGUAGGUGAACCUGCGGAGG